Molecule: transfer RNA, 72 nt
Filed under: Gloeobacterales cyanobacterium ES-bin-141
Lineage: Bacteria; Bacillati; Cyanobacteriota; Cyanophyceae; Gloeobacterales
Also listed under: 1 other name
Rfam family: tRNA
About the family: Transfer RNA (tRNA) molecules are approximately 80 nucleotides in length. Their secondary structure includes four short double-helical elements and three loops (D, anti-codon, and T loops).
Source: Rfam by way of RNAcentral
UCCUCGGUAGCUCAGUGGUAGAGCGAUCGACUGUUAAUCGAUUGGUCGCAAGUUCGAAUCUUGCCCGGGGAG